UCUAUAGGCACUUGCCUAUAAUCCCAGCUCCUAGGAAGGCUGAGGCCAGUGGAUCUCUAGAGCUCAGGAGAUCUGAGUUUCGGUAGGCUAAGUUGAUCAAGUAUCUGUAUUGACUGGCAUCAAUAUGGUGAUCUCCUAGGAUGGAAGGUGGGGCACCAGGUUGCCCAAGGGGGAAUAAACCAGCCCAGGUCAGAAAUGGAGGUGGUCAAAGCUUUCAUGUUGUAAUGAGAUCAGGUCUGUGAAUAGCCCCUGUACUUCCAGAAUGGGGUGGAUGGGGAGAUCCAGUCUCUC
Molecule: unclassified non-coding RNA, 291 nt
Organism: Vombatus ursinus (common wombat)
Lineage: Eukaryota; Metazoa; Chordata; Mammalia; Diprotodontia; Vombatidae
Rfam family: Metazoan signal recognition particle RNA
About the family: The signal recognition particle (SRP) is a universally conserved ribonucleoprotein. It is involved in the co-translational targeting of proteins to membranes.
Source: Ensembl